Oreochromis niloticus (Nile tilapia) is the source of this 1359-nucleotide long non-coding RNA. The record is from Ensembl. NCBI's taxonomy places the organism in Eukaryota, Metazoa, Chordata, Actinopteri, Cichliformes, Cichlidae.
AAUGGCAUUUCUGCUGUAUUGUUGCCAUGAGUGAAUGCAAGUGUCACACAGCAGGACAAAACAAGGGAAAAGUAAAAGUUUAGGAGGUUUUACCUGAAUAAGGGAGUCAGCUGGCAUAUGUUCCCGUUUUGUAAGUUAGCAAGGUAAUAUUUCAACAAAGACAUGGACCCAUCUGCCCAGAUGGUGAGCCUGGAUAACCAGGGGAACAUGGUUUUCACAGUUGUAAAGCCAGUUAUGGGCAUAUUUCAGGUGUCUUCAGAGCAAACUGGCAGUGCUCCACAAGGAAGCAUGGGUCUACAGAGUUUAGCUGAAAGCACAUUAGUCCUCCCUCAGGCGCAAGGUCAGCCUCCACUAGACCAGAACCAGAUGGAAAUGAACACCAUACAGCCUCAUAUUCAGCCUCCGAUGCAGGUUUCUGCCCCAGUCCAGACUGAGGAUUUACCUGUGAAUCAGGAUCUCCCACAAAGCUCAAGCGAAAAUACAGAGUCCACUAGCCAGAUCGCAUUUGCUGAGGUUUCAUCACUCCUGGAUCCCAACAUGAAAGGAUCAAAAGCUCGGAAAUAUCUCAUCUCAUAUGAUGAAAUUAAAAGGCGUCUGCAGGCUCCAGAAAAGAUGUCCCUGCGGUCUUUGGCAGCGUACACUCGGGUCAGCAGAGGACCAGCCAGCAAGAAAACACUCCUGGAGUCGCUUAAUGUACUCGGCCUCACGCCAAGCACAACUACCUCUGUAUCCUCGUCCUUCUCCAAACUCACUGAAGGCGACACCAGAGCUCUGUGUGACGAUAUGAAGGAUUUUGCCCAUGACUACAUUGACUAUGGCAACAUGGCAAAGCAGCUUAUCCCAGAGACAAAUACAGUUCAACACUGGUCCAAAAUUAUUGAAACAAAGAACCAUCUUGAGGAUAUGAGAAAGUGUUUUAGGGACCCGGUCAACAGUGGUGCCUUCGACAACGUCACUCAUGGCCUCGGUCUUGGAAUGCUUGAUGUUGCACUGGACAUGAUUGUUAUGGUAAUUGAACAGCAGAUUCGCAUCCUGUCUGGUGUCGCAGCAUCUGACCCGGCCGACUCAGGUCCACAAAUGCGCCGUGUCCGCAGGCGCCACCGCAAAACUCGCUUGAUGGACAAUGAGAAGCUUCAUAAGGUGUCUGGAGGGGAAAAAGAACAAGGAAAGCUCAUUUCAAAAGCCAAAGGUCGAAUCAGAGCCAAGAAGAAGAUCAGACAGGAAACUGUAGCUUCUGGACCUGUGGAGACCCAGGCAGAGCCAUGUAAGCCAGAUGGUGUGGAGAGUAAUGUCCUCACCCUGGUCUCUGUAGGUUACGAGACUGUUUCCAGCGGCCUCGGUUCAGUUGGACCUGUUUGA